BHUMRCUGCACCGGAUCCCAUCAGAACUCCGCAGUUAAGCGUGCUUGGGCGAGAGUAGUACUAGGAUGGGUGACCUCCUGGGAAGUCCUCGUGUUG
RNAcentral lists this ribosomal RNA (96 nucleotides) under Betula humilis. The record is from RNAcentral. Lineage: Eukaryota; Viridiplantae; Streptophyta; Magnoliopsida; Fagales; Betulaceae.